RNAcentral lists this ribosomal RNA (497 nucleotides) under uncultured bacterium. RNAcentral's name for it is "partial 16S ribosomal RNA". It matches the Rfam family "Bacterial small subunit ribosomal RNA", at positions 28 to 507 of the family's 1533-position model. The record is from RNAcentral.
GAUGAACGCUGGCGGCGUGCCUAAUACAUGCAAGUCGAGCGAACGGACGAGAAGCUUGCUUCUCUGAUGCUAGCGGCGGACGGGUGAGUAACACGUGGAUAACCUACCUAUAAGACUGGGAUAACUUCGGGAAACCGGAUCUAAUACCGGAUAAUAUUUUGAACCGCAUGGUUCAAAAGUGAAAGACGGUCUUGCUGUCACUUAUAGAUGGAUCCGCGCUGCAUUGGCUAGUUGGUAAGGUAACGGCUUACCAAGGCAACGAUGCAUAGCCGACCUGAGAGGGUGAUCGGCCACACUGGAACUGAGACACGGUCCAGACUCCUACGGGAGGCAGCAGUCGGGAAUCUGACGCAAUGGGCGAAAGCCUGACGGAGCAGCGCCGAGUGAGUGAUGAAGGUCUUCGGAUCGUAAAACUCUGUUAUGAGGGAAGAACAUAUGUGUAAGUAACUGUGCACAUCUUGACGGUACCUAAUCAGAAAGCCACGGCUAACUACGUG